Rosa rugosa (rugosa rose) is the source of this 591-nucleotide long non-coding RNA. RefSeq lists it as uncharacterized. Lineage: Eukaryota; Viridiplantae; Streptophyta; Magnoliopsida; Rosales; Rosaceae. The transcript is spliced from 4 exons. The record is from RefSeq and is a predicted model, not a curated record.
CCGACCUAGACCUAGACGCCCAUCCCAAUCGCAAACAAAACCCUCACCAGUCACCACCGUGAUCCAAAUCCGUUACCCCUUCUAAUCCAUACUCUCAUCUCUCAAUCACAGACGAAGCAAUCGCCCUCGAUUCCUGCACACAGCAGAAACUUCCUCUUCUUGUGCUCGAUUCAAUACAGUUAAACUUCAAGGACUUCCGGCCGUGGAAAACUGAAGUUAUCUCGAAGAAAGUAGUUAUUGCACUUGGCAAGAGUGUAGCUGGAAGUAUCGAAGAGUAAGCUGUCAAGCGAUCUGAGGAUGCACUGAAUUUGUAGCUAUGGAAUACUGUAAAAUUUUCCCAUGGUGCAUUUAGGUUAUUCUUGUGCUGGGUAAGAGCACAGAAGUUGUUGGAGUUGGAGCUGAACAAGGAACCAUGGGUAACAAGAUGCUGCCUCUAGAUGAGUGUAACCAAUGUGACUGGUUGGAACUCCUCUUGUAACUUUUGUGGACUAAAAAACAGCUUUCCUUUAUGGACAAUGUUUAUAUUUAACAUGUACUACAAAUGAUGUUCUUACCAACAAAUGCUUUACAUAUUAUCUGCAAGAGUGCAAG